This 402-nucleotide ribosomal RNA is filed under the name [Candida] sp. RNAcentral's name for it is "LSU rRNA". It matches the Rfam family "Eukaryotic large subunit ribosomal RNA", at positions 111 to 524 of the family's 3401-position model. The record is from RNAcentral. Lineage: Eukaryota; Fungi; Ascomycota; Saccharomycetes; Saccharomycetales.
AAAUUUGGAACCGUACGCGGGUUGUAAUUUGAAGGCCAGUACUGGAGCGGGCGCCGCCUAUGUUCCUUGGAACAGGACGUCACAGAGGGUGAGAAUCCCGUGUGGCGGUCGCCUCAACCGUGGAGUACGCGCCGACGAGUCGAGUUGUUUGGGAAUGCAGCUCUAAGUGGGUGGUAAAUUCCAUCUAAAGCUAAAUAUUGGCGAGAGACCGAUAGCGAACAAGUACAGUGAUGGAAAGAUGAAAAGCACUCUGAAGAGAGAGUGAAACAGUACGUGAAAUUGUUGGAAGGGAAGGGCAUGGGGGUAGUCUGAGCAAUCGGGAAGGGGGAAUUCGUGGGGGUGUAUAAUGGCGCGGGAAUGUAGCUGCUUGCAGUGUUAUAGCCCGUGUUGAUGCGCCGCCGU